RNAcentral lists this ribosomal RNA (475 nucleotides) under uncultured bacterium. RNAcentral's name for it is "partial 16S ribosomal RNA". It matches the Rfam family "Bacterial small subunit ribosomal RNA", at positions 28 to 523 of the family's 1533-position model. The record is from RNAcentral.
GACGAACGCUGGCGGCGUGCUUAACACAUGCAAGUCGAACGGUAAGGCCCUUCGGGGUACACGAGUGGCGAACGGGUGAGUAACACGUGGGUGAUCUGCCCUGCACUUCGGGAUAAGCCUGGGAAACUGGGUCUAAUACCGGAUAGGACCACUGCCUGCAUGGGUGGUGGAAAGCUUUUGCGGUGUGGGAUGGGCCCGCGGCCUAUCAGCUUGUUGGUGGGGUGAUGGCCUACCAAGGCGACGACGGGUAGCCGGCCUGAGAGGGUGACCGGCCACACUGGGACUGAGAUACGGCCCAGACUCCUACGGGAGGCAGCAGUGGGGAAUAUUGCACAAUGGGCGCAAGCCUGAUGCAGCGACGCCGCGUGGGGGAUGACGGCCUUCGGGUUGUAAACCUCUUUCAGCACCGACGAAGCGCAAGUGACGGUAGGUGCAGAAGAAGGACCGGCCAACUACGUGCCAGCCGCCGCAGUAA